GAUGAAGAACGUAGCGAAAUGCGAUAAGUAGUGUGAAUUGCAGAAUUCAGUGAAUCAUCGAAUCUUUGAACGCACAUUGCGCCCUUUGGUAUUCCAAAGGGCAUGCCUGUUCGAGCGUCAUUUGUACCCUCAAGCUUUGCUUGGUGUUGGGCGUCUUGUCUCUAGCUUUGCUGGAGACUCGCCUUAAAGUAAUUGGCAGCCGGCCUACUGGUUUCGGAGCGCAGCACAAGUCGCACUCUCUAUCAGCAAAGGUCUAGCAUCCAUUAAGCCUUUUUUUCAACUUUUGACCUCGGAUCAGGUAGGGAUACCCGCUGAACUUAAGCAUAUCAAUAAGCGUAGGA
Molecule: unclassified non-coding RNA, 341 nt
Filed under: soil metagenome
Description: partial contains 5.8S ribosomal RNA, internal transcribed spacer 2, and large subunit ribosomal RNA
Rfam family: 5.8S ribosomal RNA (bases 1-120)
Source: RNAcentral